Molecule: ribosomal RNA, 253 nt
Filed under: uncultured bacterium
Lineage: Bacteria
Description: partial 16S ribosomal RNA
Rfam family: Bacterial small subunit ribosomal RNA
Source: RNAcentral
GACGUAGGGCGCGAGCGUUGUCCGGAUUUAUUGGGCGUAAAGAGCUCGUAGGCGGCUUGUCGCGUCGUCCGUGAAAACUUGGGGCUCAACCCCAAGCUUGCGGUCGAUACGGGCAGGCUCGAGUUCGGUAGGGGAGACUGGAAUUCCUGGUGUAGCGGUGAAAUGCGCAGAUAUCAGGAGGAACACCGGUGGCGAAGGCGGGUCUCUGGGCCGAUACUGACGCUGAGGCGCGAAAGCUAGGGGAGCAAACGGG